AGGGUAAUAGCUCAGUGGUAGAGCGUAUGCUUAGCAUGCACAAGGUCCUGGGUUCAAUCCUCAGUACCUCCA
RNAcentral lists this transfer RNA (72 nucleotides) under Camelus bactrianus (Bactrian camel). It matches the Rfam family "tRNA". Rfam says of the family: Transfer RNA (tRNA) molecules are approximately 80 nucleotides in length. Their secondary structure includes four short double-helical elements and three loops (D, anti-codon, and T loops). Further hydrogen bonds mediate the characteristic L-shaped molecular structure. tRNAs have two regions of fundamental functional importance: the anti-codon, which is responsible for specific mRNA codon recognition, and the 3' end, to which the tRNAs corresponding amino acid is attached (by aminoacyl-tRNA synthetases). tRNAs cope with the degeneracy of the genetic code in two manners: having more than one tRNA (with a specific anti-codon) for a particular amino acid; and 'wobble' base-pairing, i.e. permitting non-standard base-pairing at the 3rd anti-codon position. Lineage: Eukaryota; Metazoa; Chordata; Mammalia; Artiodactyla; Camelidae. The record is from Rfam by way of RNAcentral. RNAcentral also lists the same sequence under 2 other names.